This 478-nucleotide ribosomal RNA is filed under the name uncultured bacterium. Its description in RNAcentral is "partial 16S ribosomal RNA". It matches the Rfam family "Bacterial small subunit ribosomal RNA", at positions 28 to 523 of the family's 1533-position model. The record is from RNAcentral.
GACGAACGCUGGCGGCGUGCUUAACACAUGCAAGUCGAACGGUAAGGCCCUUCGGGGUACACGAGUGGCGAACGGGUGAGUAACACGUGGGUGAUCUGCUCUGCACUUCGGGAUAAGCCUGGGAAACUGGGUCUAAUACCGGAUAGGACCACUGCCUGCAUGGGUGGUGGUGGAAAGCUUUUGCGGUGUGGGAUGGGCCCGCGGCCUAUCAGCUUGUUGGUGGGGUGAUGGCCUACCUAGGCGACGACGGGUAGCCGGCCUGAGAGGGUGACCGGCCACACUGGGACUGGGAUACGGCCCAGACUCCUACGGGAGGCAGCAGUGGGGAAUAUUGCACAAUGGGCGCAAGCCUGAUGCAGCGACGCCGCGUGAGGGAUGACGGCCUUCGGGUUGUAAACCUCUUUCAGCACCGACGAAGCGCAAGUGACGGUAGGUGCAGAAGAAGGACCGGCCAACUACGUGCCAGCCGCCGCCGUAA